CAGUCGCCGCGGGAAUACGUAGGUGGCAAGCGUUGUCCGGAAUUAUUGGGCGUAAAGGGCUCGCAGGCGGUUUCUUAAGUCUGAUGUGAAAGCCCCCGGCUCAACCGGGGAGGGUCAUUGGAAACUGGGAAACUUGAGUGCAGAAGAGGAGAGUGGAAUUCCACGUGUAGCGGUGAAAUGCGUAGAGAUGUGGAGGAACACCAGUGGCGAAGGCGACUCUCUGGUCUGUAACUGACGCUGAGACGCGAAAGCCAGGGGAGCGAACGGGAUUAGAUACCCCGGUAGUCCCUGUCUCUUAUAA
Molecule: ribosomal RNA, 301 nt
Filed under: uncultured bacterium
Lineage: Bacteria
Description: partial 16S ribosomal RNA
Rfam family: Bacterial small subunit ribosomal RNA
Source: RNAcentral